AGUGAACGCUGGCGGUGGGCCUAAUACAUGCAAGUCGAACGAACGCACAGUAAGAGCUUGCCCUUAAGGUUAGCGACUGGCGGAUGGGUGAGACGUACAUAGCCUACUUCUUUUUCUUGGGUAAUUUCGUGGAACCGGUUCCACUACCACCUAAUAUGUUCUACGGGUGGGAUCAAGAGAUCAUCGCAGUUUUCCUGUCUCUUUUAGCCGGAGUCGGAUUAGCUAGUUGGUAGGGUAAAGGCCCACCAAGGCAACGAUACGUAGCUGAUCUGAGAGGAUGAUCAGCCACACUGGAACUGAGACACGGUCCAGACUCCUACGGGAGGCAGCAGUGGGGAAUAUUGCGCAAUGGGCGAAAGCCUGAUGCAGCAAUGCCGCGUGAGUGAUGAAGGCCUUCGGGUUGUAAAGCUCUUUUGUUAGGAAAGAAAAGAAGUAUAUGAAUACCCCGCUGUUCUGACGGUACCCAAAGAAAAAGCACCGGCUAACUUCGUG
RNAcentral lists this ribosomal RNA (492 nucleotides) under uncultured bacterium. Its description in RNAcentral is "partial 16S ribosomal RNA". It matches the Rfam family "Bacterial small subunit ribosomal RNA", at positions 29 to 507 of the family's 1533-position model. The record is from RNAcentral.